Molecule: long non-coding RNA, 697 nt
Filed under: Dromaius novaehollandiae (emu)
Lineage: Eukaryota; Metazoa; Chordata; Aves; Casuariiformes; Dromaiidae
Description: lncRNA (ENSDNVG00000016233.1)
Source: RNAcentral
UCUUCUGCAGUUGUUUUGGCUACAUCUGUUUAUGUUUUCCAUUAUGAAUACUGUUUGUUGUUUGACUGCAUUGUUUACUACAUUUGCUUACUUUCUGUAUAAAAUGUUUAAUUUGCAUUUUCCUUUCAAUAAUUUUUUUUAUUUCUCUUUCAGUCUUGUUUUUCCAGCAAAAAAUGCGGGAAGUUGUAACAGAGCAAGACAUCACUAGCAAAUUGGAAAAGGCCUCAGGAAAAUUUCAACAGGAACUCACCCAUGUACUAUUCAGGACUAUUGAAUAAUUUUUUUCACGAGGCCCACUGGAGUCUUUUAUCUUGGUCUGCCGACUUCUAUUGAGUCUGCUCAGCAGGAAGCAAUCGUUGGGCUCCAGUGCUGUCAAGCCAGCUCUGUGCAGAAUGCUGCCUCCACAGCUGACAUCUGCUGUGUCACUCUGAAACUUCUCCUCGAGAAACUGGGCAAAUGAUACUUGAUAGGACGUGAAGAAAAAUACAAGCUAAAUAAAUAUUGUAGGAAGCCAGAAAUGCUAGCAACAAGACAGAUAAGUGUCUGUUUUGGGCCCAAAGUGGAAAACUCUGAGGAGGCACAAAGGACACUGGGUCGAAUAAACUCUGCAGUAUUUCACCACUCAUACUACACUUUCAUGACAUCUGCUGAAGUUUUGUAUCGCUUUAAAAUGAGGGCACCAAGUGAGGCUUCCUAA